AGAAAAUGCAUUUCCUGAAGGAAAUACCAGUGCAUGAAAUGCAAAAGUUAAGAAAGGAAGAAAAAAACAAAGAAGAGUGAAAGAAGGAAAGAAGAGUGGAAGAAGAGUAAAAGAAGAAGAAAAGUAAAGAAGAAGGAAAGAAGAAAAGAAAGAAGAGUGAAGAAAGAAAAGAAGAGUGGAAGAAGGAAAGAAGAAAAAAAAGAAAAGUGAAAGAAGGAAAGAAGAGUGAAAGAAGGAAAAAAGAGUGGAAGAAGGAAAGAAAGAAGAGUGAAAGAAGGAAAGAAGAGUGGAAGAAGGAAAGAAGAAAAGAAAGAAGAGAGAAAGAAGGAAAGAAGAGUGGAAGAAGGAAAGAAGAAAGGAAAGAAGAGUGGAAGAAGGAAAGAAGAGUGGAAGAAGAGUGAAGAAAGAAAAGAAGAGUAGAAGAAGGAAAGAAGACUGGAAGAAGGAAAGAAGAGUGAAGAAAGAAAAGAAGAGUAGAAGAAGGAAAGAAGAGUGGAAGAAGGAAAGAAGAAAGGAAAGAAGAGUGAAGAAAGGAAAGAAGAAAAGAAAGAUGAAGGAAAGAAGAGUGAAGAAAGAAAAGAAGAGUAGAAGAAGGAAAGAAGAGUGGAAGAAGGAAAGAAGAGUGAAGAAAGAAAAGAAGAGUAGAAGAAGGAAAGAAGAGUGGAAGAAGGAAAGAAGAAAGGAAAGGAGAGUGGAAGAAGGAAAGAAUAAUAUUCCUAGUUAUACAGUUGAAUGGAGAGGGACAG
Molecule: long non-coding RNA, 746 nt
Organism: Clupea harengus (Atlantic herring)
Lineage: Eukaryota; Metazoa; Chordata; Actinopteri; Clupeiformes; Clupeidae
Source: Ensembl